This 330-nucleotide ribosomal RNA is filed under the name Triticum aestivum (bread wheat). RNAcentral describes it as "partial small subunit ribosomal RNA". Lineage: Eukaryota; Viridiplantae; Streptophyta; Magnoliopsida; Poales; Poaceae. The record is from RNAcentral.
AUGAAGCGUGCGUGCUUACCUGUUGCCGAGCAUGGCGUGGAGCUGGAGGAUGACGGUCUCCUCGUCGGCGGUGAUCUUGCCCCGCUUCAGGUCCGGCCGGAGGUAGUUCACCCACCGCAGCCGGCAGCUCUUGCCGCUCCGCCGCAGCCCGGUGAGCUUGGCGACGGAGUUCCAGCUGCCCUCGCCCUGCUGCUGCACGUACUCGGUCAGCAGCCGGUCCUCCAGCGCCGUCCAUGGCCCCUUCCUCCACGCCCCCUGCAACACCGCGCUGCUCAUCGCGUCCAUGACGCGCCCUCCCUUGCUAUAUAUUACUCCAACUUGCUGAUCUAA